GGGCAUUGGACUCAGACAUUGCAAGAUUUAUGACGGCGGUCAUAUUCAAUCUAUUACUCCACCUUGGGAUCUUCCUCUGGUCCUUAAAGCUCUUAAAACAGAUCCUUUUCAAUCAUAUUUGUCUGAGUAUUCUUUCCCUCCCUUGGUUUUAGCUUGGGUAUUACCCAUUGUUGUGCUGCCAUACUUACCGUAAUUUUCUUUUCCUGGUCAUAGGCCAUGGCAGCACAAGGAU
Molecule: non-coding RNA, 232 nt
Organism: Pelobates cultripes (western spadefoot toad)
Lineage: Eukaryota; Metazoa; Chordata; Amphibia; Anura; Pelobatidae
Source: the annotation of a GenBank genome assembly